CAUACAGCUCUCCCAUUAAAUUCUAUCGAGUAAACUCUGUUACAUAUUACAUGGCUUCGGAUAGCUUUCAUCGGUGUUUUAGCUCACUUACUAAUUCACAUUUAGAAUUGGCGAGUAGCUACUUUUUACAAAUGGCGGUAUAUUAUUAUUCGAUGAGACACAUACAGAUAGCGAAGAAUAUAAAUUUGCUAAUAUUGCAGAAAAUGCAUCAACGAUUGUAUGUAAUCGAUUGAAACGCGUAUCACGGGCUUAAAAUGUUCAUUAGAUUUCAUUUAACGUCCAAAAUACAAAUCUCUUAUCAUGUAGCACAGAAGCUAGAAAAUUUAAUGAGAUUAAGGAGGUUAAAGAGAAUUUUAUACGCCAUUUUAAAGACACUGUGGCGGCACCCGAUCACGGAAAUUUCCAACGGCUUCGCGACACAAAGCGCUAAUACCAUCGAUAUCCCUACGGUUUUUUCGCCGAAUAUUCGGAAGAAUGCAUACGCGGCAACCGUCGCGGAUUUCUAAUAAACGCGCGCGUAGUGACAACAAAGAAAAAAAUCGGUUUGCUUUCGAACCAAAAGAUUCAUUCUGCUCCGAACUGCGAAAGGUUAAGCGGCAUAGCGUCAAACACAAUUAGAGAAACGCGUUAUUGACUCUUGAUAGUUCAGUGUUAAUCGUUAUUUGUUAUUGAUCGUUGUUAAUCGUUAAUCGUGGUUAAUCGUUAUUUGUUGUUAAUUGUUAAGAGUUUAAUAAACGUUAUUGUUGAAAAUCAAGAGUGUUUCUUGCGGGCACCUUCACCGACGAUCAUCUCAACACAAAUAACGUUGAUGUGUAACGUCAACAAACAUCUACAACCGAAACCUGAACCGCUUUGCACACGACACCAACUUCCAAAACAAAGGAAUAUGAAUUCGGCACGUAGGCAGAAGAUAAACGAACAUUUAGAAGGGCUGGGUCUUGAUCGAGGCUUCAGUCUUUCGGUAACGGUCUAGUCGUAAACUUGUACUCUUAUUAUAGAAUAAAGGUAAAGGUUUCCUGUUAUUUUUUACGUGAAAAUAUAUUGGGCGGUUGUAAUUAGGAAUUAAAUAAGUCAAAAUGCUUUUCUCUCAUUACGUAUUAAAACCUUUCCGUGCUCGCAAUUGACGAUAAUUUCUCCUUAUACCUAUUUUUCUGUUAUGUCGUUGGAUGGCGAUUGAGGAAACUAUAGUUUAUGUAAUAAAUUACAUAAAUACGAUUCCUGGACGGGAUUGGGGGUCUGCGUUACCAAUUAACGAUCGUACAAGAUUGAAUGGUUGGAUCAUGGAUCAUGGAUCGCGUUGAAUCGUCGAUAUUCAAUCAUCAGAAACCUUUCGAACACUUUCACUUUGAUUUGGGACUUGCCCCGAAGAGGGGACAGGCAACUUUACAACGUUUAGGCCAUGCAGAAUUAUCGCUUUAAUAGUUCUAACAAUAUCAUUGCGUUAUACGCGUUAUAACAUUAUUGGAAGAAGAGGAAAUUGAAGUUUCCAUCGACGCGAGCGAGAGCGACAAAAUUGCCACGCGAUCUCUCGCACGUCUACGCUUUACGAAUGCUGAAAACUUUCGUUCGAAAGGAAUUUACCAUCGAAUCUCGACAAUUUACGGUAACAAGAUUAUGAUCGAAUCAUUCGUGAGACGAUGGGUACGGGAAUUCAAUACGAGUAGAGAAACUGUCUGUGAUCGUAAACGUGGUGGCCGGCCGUCUCUCGUUACAGAGGAUCUCAAGAAACGCGUCUGCAAUUCGAGACAGCAAACCGAAAUAUUCGAGUAAAUAAUGAAACGAGCAAUAUGAAUAAACAAUUCCAUUAAAUGUCUAAAAUGUAGAACCUGUUAUCGAUAUCCUUGCUAUGGUGCCGCUAUUUAUGCAGCGAUGGUUUCAAGUGGCUCAAGAUGAAUAAGGACGCGAACUUAUAGCACGCAAAUAUACCUAAAAACGAUCUUCUCAAUUUUCUAACACGUUAACUGCUACGCGUGUUUUCACUGAAAUCUCCGUCAGGCCACGUACAGAAUAUCUUUCCAAAUACCUACGACGAUCCUUCGCAAGUAGUCAAAUAAGCACCACCCGUAUUCGGAGCAGGGGAAAUACUGGAAAGAAGGGGGAGAAAAAAGAUGCAGGCUAUGUAAAAGGAAAGAAGAAGACCCAAGACACGUAAUAGAAGAAUGCGAAAUAACAGGAGGACCAAAGGACACAGAAAAAAUACUAAACGAGACUGGAGAAGGACUAACAGAACUAAAAACAAUAAUUGAGUAGAGAAGGGCAAUACAAGACGGGGAGGAACGACAAUAAGGAAGCACAGUAAGGAGGCAAAAUCCCAAAAGUUGCCAUAGUUUUUAGAGACAGAUCAUAUAAUGGAGUGCAAUAUAAUAGAGUGGAGGUAGAUAUAUAAGAAAACAGAUAUAUAAGAUAUAUAAAGAGAUAAAGAUAUAUAAGAUUGAUAGAACGUAAAAGCGUAAUAGGUAAACGAGUUGUAAAACCGAAAGCUCGCCCAAAGCCGAGAGGCACGGACUAAGCAAUAAUAAAUAAAUAAUAAUAAGUAAUACAAUUAUUCGUUUCACCAUUACCAUAGGUGUUAAAUAGGGCAAUGGUUGUAUCGUAAAAUACCCAAGUAUAUUACGUUAAAGAGAGUAUUAUUUUUUGCACGACCUUCGUACUAUGGAGAGCACUGUAUUUUCGAUAUGUUAUACAUUUUUGCAUGAAACACGCGCUCUGUGUAUUUUUGCGCUUUUACAUUUUUCAUAGAAAUUGCCAGUCAAUUUAUAAUUUGUAUUAAUUUCAUAAAUUUAUCGUAGUAGUUUUAUGUGGUAAUAAGGUAAUAACCAACAACAAUGAGGAGAACGUUGGCUGAUGGUUACGGAUGUUAUCCAGGUAGCCAUCGAGAUUGCAAGUUGACUUUUCUUCUCUAACGAAAUGUACACGAAAAGAUACAAGUACCUCAAUACCUUUUUGUAUGAGAAACUGUAUCGAAUGGCGUAUAAGAAAGUACACGGUUCCAUUUAAAAGAGCAAAAAUCAUGUUGAGACUUAGAUUUCGAGAACUCUUCCACUUAGACAAAUCUGGUGAUGAUCGUAAGACGUCCUCCUCGAGAUGGAACAAGUUUAAUUCGCGCAGUAAAAAGACAGUAGGUUAUUCGAAAAAGUGUUUUAAAUAAACUUGAGCGGAUUAAAACAAGACACUCUGUAUAUGCACGAUAGCAUAGUCAAAAAUUUGUUCACAAAUAUUCGCUAUAUCGUGUGGAGGACAUUGUACGAAACAGAUGAAGAUUGGAAAUAAAAUAACGUUAUUUCAAGACGAUCUAUGAAAGGAUACUCAAAGUUGAAUCCUCAACGAAUCAUUUUAAUCGAUUUCUUAACUUUGAAUGGCAGGAUUUCCUGUGACAUCUUCUGCACCGUCGAAAAUAAAACCGUUCUGUCGUUACAGUGCAACUGUAUACUUCUACCAAGAGAUUUCCAUGGAUAAGGAAACCGUUAGCCACCUCGUUUUAAAACUGAUGAAAUCUAAUGAACUCCUUUAAAUGUAAUCGUUUCGUGCAAAAGAACCCUGGCACAGGCGAUUAAAUGAAUAAUUACAUACAUCACUGUUACAUAUUUCUAAACAUUUAUAUUAUGUAUGUUUAUACAUAUUAGGUCACCCCAUAAGUUCGUGCCGUUUUUCGAGCGGUUAUAUAUAUUAUUUUUUUUAAACACCUAUGAAUCGUUGUUUUGGGUAUUUUCAGAACAUUUGACGUCUCUUGAACCGUCAAACUUCGUGAUUUUUCAACAAGAUACCGAAUUUUAUCUUCGUCUGUCUGAGGAGGACGCCCGGAGCGUUCCUCGUCUUCUAAACAGAAAUUCCCAGCUCUAAAACGUUGGAACCACUUCCUACACGUGCGAGAUGAAAGCGCAUUUUCUCCGUAAACAGCACAUAUGUUUUUCGUGGCAAUUGUUACAGAAUUUCCUUUCCGAAAUUCAUAUAACACGAGAUGUCGAAAAUGGAUACGUAUUUCACUCAUGAUUUUUUACUGUUAGAAGUCACUGUGUUCGCUAUAUUACGAUCUUAUACCCACGAAAAUCUGCUCUAGCCUGUUCUCGAUCAGCUAAGCUCAAGUGCAUUGGUCCCUUAUCGUCGUAUGUUUAUAAAUCGACACAUGAAAUGUAUACGCAAAAAUCAGCACGAACUUAUGGGAUGACCUAAUAUUUAUUAUUUUAUCAUCAAUGUAAUAUUAUAUAAUAAUAAAUAGUAUUGUUAAUAAGCAUGGUGCAGUUAAGUAAGAAAAGUACAAUUAAUAAUAAACAGAAUUUAUUCGUUUGAAAAAGCAAUUAUAUUGAACAAAAAUCAUUAUUAUACUUAUAGAUUAGCGACUAUAAGUUUGAACGAUAAAUCGAUCUUCGUAAAGGAAACUUUCUUGGACAUGAAAAAAGACUAACAACUUGACCGUGCUCUAUGAGAUCAUCAAAUUAGGGAUACAAAGAGAAGAGAACUUUGCGAGAGAGAGAUAUUUGCGAAUAUCGAAAUAUUUCGUUGCCAAUCAAUUGAAAAGUUAUGUAGUUGAUUAAACGGAAAGAAUAAGCAUAAAUUAACCACCUGUUAAUAGUAAUUUUUUGUAAUAAUAUUAUUAAUACAGAUAAUUUUCUAUUUGAAAAUUCACGUGAAAAUUGUAACCGAAAAUGGAAAAAGUUGCGGUAUAAGAAUUAGAAGAUUAUAAAAUAUUUAAAAAAUAACACUAUUCCGUGAUCCUGGAUCGAAUCAACGUUAUGAUAUAUUAAAACUUUGCCAUUCUGCGGAAAUAUGAGGUAUAUAGUACGCUAAUUGUUGUAGGGACGAUCGUAGUCGAAAUCAAUAAAAAGAAACUGAAAACCAAAGAAAGGACGAAGGAGAAAGUAACGAACAGAAUGAAAAAGAGAUAGGGAGGAGAAAGAGAGAAAGAGGGAAAGAGAAAAAGAGAGAGGGCGACGUUUCACUUAGCUAUUU
Long non-coding RNA from Bombus huntii, 4947 nucleotides. RefSeq lists it as uncharacterized. The transcript is spliced from 3 exons. NCBI's taxonomy places the organism in Eukaryota, Metazoa, Arthropoda, Insecta, Hymenoptera, Apidae. The record is from RefSeq and is a predicted model, not a curated record.